RNAcentral lists this ribosomal RNA (479 nucleotides) under uncultured anaerobic ammonium-oxidizing bacterium. Its description in RNAcentral is "bacterial SSU rRNA". It matches the Rfam family "Bacterial small subunit ribosomal RNA", at positions 364 to 833 of the family's 1533-position model. The record is from RNAcentral.
UUUCGCAAUGCCCGAAAGGGUGACGAAGCGACGCCGCGUGAGUGAGGAAGGCCUUCGGGUUGUAAAGCUCUGUCAGGAGUUAAGAAAUAUAAGUGUGUUAAUACCACAUUUAUUUGACGAAGGCUCCAAAGGAAGCCACGGCUAACUCUGUGCCAGCAGCCGCGGUAAUACAGAGGUGGCAAGCGUUGUUCGGAAUUAUUGGGCGUAAGGAGCACGUAGGCGGGUUUGUAAGUCAGAUGUGAAAGCCUUCUGUUCAACGGAAGAAUUGCAUCUGAAACUGCGAGUCUUGAGUGUAGGAGGGGAGAAUGGAACUUCUGGUGGAGCGGUGAAAUGCGUAGAUAUCAGAAGGAACGCCGGCGGCGAAAGCGAUUCUCUGGCCUAUUACUGACACUCAGUGUGCGAAAGCUAGGGGAGCAAACGGGAUUAGAUACCCCGGUAGUCCUAGCUGUAAACGAUGGGCACUAAGUAGAGGGGUUUUA